This 292-nucleotide ribosomal RNA is filed under the name uncultured bacterium. RNAcentral's name for it is "partial 16S ribosomal RNA". It matches the Rfam family "Bacterial small subunit ribosomal RNA", at positions 505 to 796 of the family's 1533-position model. The record is from RNAcentral.
GUGCCAGCCGCCGCGGUAAUACAGAGGUCUCAAGCGUUGUUCGGAAUCACUGGGCGUAAAGGGUGCGUAGGCUGCGCCGUAAGUCAGAUGUGAAAGCUCAGGGCUCAACCCUGAAAUUGCAUCCGAUACUGCGGUGCUUGAGAAAUGAAGGGGAGUCUAGAAUUUUCGGUGUAGCAGUGAAAUGCGUAGAUAUCGAAAGGAAUACCAAAGGCGAAGGCAGGACUCUGGGCAUUUUCUGACGCUGAUGCACGAAGGCCAGGGUAGCGAACGGGAUUAGAUACCCCGGUAGUCC